RNAcentral lists this ribosomal RNA (96 nucleotides) under Hedyotis bodinieri. RNAcentral's name for it is "5.8S ribosomal RNA". It matches the Rfam family "5.8S ribosomal RNA", at positions 9 to 104 of the family's 154-position model. From Rfam's summary of the family: 5.8S ribosomal RNA (5.8S rRNA) is a component of the large subunit of the eukaryotic ribosome. Lineage: Eukaryota; Viridiplantae; Streptophyta; Magnoliopsida; Gentianales; Rubiaceae. The record is from RNAcentral.
GCAACGGAUAUCUAGGCUCUCGCAUCGAUGAAGAACGUAGCAAAAUGCGAUACUUGGUGUGAAUUGCAGAAUCCCGUGAACCAUCGAGUUUUUGAA